ACUAAUUAAAACAACAGGGUGGAAUAAUCUGCCCUCUCGAUUGUAGCUCAGCACGGACAGACUAUAAGUCAGGUGGUCGUUCCCCACCUGGCCUGAAUACCGCAAAACGCUGUUCAACAAUCUUCGAGGGUAGCAGGAGUCCUGCUACCCUUUUUUUUCUG
This 161-nucleotide small RNA is filed under the name Kluyvera cryocrescens. RNAcentral describes it as "sroC RNA". It matches the Rfam family "sroC RNA". Rfam says of the family: This family consists of a number of bacterial sroC RNA genes of around 160 bases in length. sroC is found in several Enterobacterial species. Lineage: Bacteria; Pseudomonadati; Pseudomonadota; Gammaproteobacteria; Enterobacterales; Enterobacteriaceae. The record is from RNAcentral.